CAAUCAACUGCGUGUAUCCUUCUUCAAAGGUGUCCGAGAAAAGCCGCGUCUGGAGUGGAUUCCCUGCUGUGCUCUGGAGGAAGCCCUCCCUUUCGUCGGCCUGUACCACCAGGAAACAGUGGCAUGGAACGAGUGCUGCUGGGUCUCCCCAUUUCUUCGAAGACGAGGAGCGUAGGGGCAGGGUCGAGGAGCUCCAUCCAGCUCAGCGGCGAGGAGGGAGGGGGAGACGGAAUAAAUUUGGGCAGUUUGCGCCCCCUCUUCU
Long non-coding RNA from Rhipicephalus microplus (southern cattle tick), 262 nucleotides. The record is from RefSeq and is a predicted model, not a curated record. NCBI's taxonomy places the organism in Eukaryota, Metazoa, Arthropoda, Arachnida, Ixodida, Ixodidae.